This 403-nucleotide ribosomal RNA is filed under the name uncultured bacterium. RNAcentral's name for it is "partial 16S ribosomal RNA". It matches the Rfam family "Bacterial small subunit ribosomal RNA", at positions 28 to 526 of the family's 1533-position model. The record is from RNAcentral.
GACGAACGCUGGCGGCGUGCCUAAUACAUGCAAGUCGAACGCAGUGGGGAUGGGUGAGUAACACGUGGGUAACCUCCCAUCAGAGGGGAUAACACUUGGAAACAGGUGCUAAACCGAUACUGAUGGAUGGACCCGCGGUGCAUUAGCUAGUUGGAGGGGUAACGGCCCACCAAGGCGAUGAUCAGUAGCCGGUCUGAGAGGAUGAACGGCCACAUUGGGACUGAGACACGGCCCAGACUCCUACGGGAGGCAGCAGUGGGGAAUCUUCCGCAAUGGACGAAAGUCUGACGGAGCAACGCCGCGUGUGUGAAGAAGGCCUUCGGGUUGUAAAGCACUUUCAGCGGGGAGGCGUUACCCGCAGAAGAAGCACCGGCUAACUCCGUGCCAGCAGCCGCGGUAAUUC